CUACAGGCCAACUAGAGCACCCAUAGAACUCCCAGGGAAAGUGCCUGCAGAAGUGCUGCCAAAGCUUGCUAGGGAGGAGCUCCACUGCAUGUCCUAUGGAUACAGGAACCAGCAGGAAGAAAUAUACCGGAACCAGGAAGAGAAGCCACUUUCCCCUGCAGUGUCCCUUCUGCGCCCUCUACUGACAAAGCUUAACGUUGUGUCAGCUGACAAGGAAGAAACGUUGCAGUAUCACAAGCAGGGCAACCAAAGGGAGGGUUGGAGCUGAGAGGCAAUGAAGUCGAACUGCCACAAGAACACGUCCCAGGGAGCUGCUGACCCAAAGAGAAUGAGAGAUGUGGAGAGCAGGCCUAAAUCCAAUCCACAGCUUAGAAGGAGAUGCAGCUGAUCCUAUCCAACCCCAGCAGAACCACAGGAACCUGCAAACCUACAAAAAGAGUGCGAGGCCAGAGCAUCUAAGCAGACUGAUGAUACAGGGAGUGGCAGCUGGCCCCAGUGACAAGAGAGGAAGCAAAUGUCAUGAAUGUGACCAGCAGACAUAUCAGGAAGCUGUGCCUGCACCCUGGCGGCUGCUGAAGGCCCUGUGCUCACCCCACCUGUCCCAGAACCUGAGGAAGACGUCCAGGAGCGCGGUCUCUCAGCCCCAGCCAGCGUCUUCACUCACUAACACCUUCACCUCGUACCAACGAAUGCUUUAAGGUACCUCAGGGAAAAACCCACAUCGUUCUACAAAAUAAAAAACAUUUCAAAUAAGACAAUUGAGGCAAAAAAGAAAAUAUCAGUAGCACAUGAGAUUAGUACCAAAACACAAACACAUCUUGCAAUUCCACACACUGGUGAGAAAUAGGCCACCAAUUUGGCUCCGAGUUUUCUAGUCCCCAACACAAAAGAAAACAGGAUCAUUUACACAAUUCAGAGUUCAUAACAGAAAAUCUAAACAGUCGUUCAAGAUAAACAUAGCGGUUCCUGGAACUGAAACCAGACAGAAAUGCCUCCCCUAGCCCCACAUGGAAAAGGCCCUGUGAUUUAGUGAGUAACAUCCUCCAAGCAGCCUUUCUGUAAACACGGCAAUGAGUUUCACAGGUCUGUUUGUAAAAACAUCCCUUGGUGUAGGCUGAUGUCAUAAUGCCAAAUUGUUAUCCAGUUACAAAAAAGAUGCCACAGGACAUCAGUACAAAUGUUCUGAGUACCAAAGUCUGGCUUAAUUAAAAAGCAGAUUUUCAAGAAACUAGAAGACUGGGUUAUCCUUAUUUUACAUGUAAGAAAACUGAGGCUCAAAAAGAUUGUCCAGAUGACUCAUGUGUCAGGAUCUCCCAUCUACUAAGUGACAGGGCAAGAACUCAGACAAAGGGUUUCGUCUGGUUUGCAUUUGUUUUUCACCAAGUCUCUGUUCUCGUCUAGACAACAUGAUGAGGGGUGGCUUGUGAAGAGUGGAAGAUCCAUUGAUGGUUGCUCAAGAUAAGAGCAAGACCUGGGAUCCUUAGCCUCUGCUUCCCUUCCGUUGUGUGGUACCUCCCCCUCCCCCUGCCUGGCCAUGAACAACUGUCCCACUGCACCAUGGAGUCACGUGGCCAGCCCCUGCCCUGAUGGCUCUGAGGUGGCUCCUUGACUCCCUCCAGCAAGACACAUCCUACAUUUCCGUAGGUGCCCAAAAGUAGCCCCCAGCCGUAGCCUUAGCUGCCUCCAGCUCCCUCACCUUUGUUCCUCCCGUGGGUCCAGGAGCUUGGAGCGCAUAAUGGGCUCAGCUGUGGGAGGAGAGCUGCAGCAGGGCAUCUGUCGGGGGAAGAGGAAGAAAGAGAAGAAAAACGGCCCCCUCUGAAAGCUUUCCAAUCACUCGAGCCACCACCAUCUCUAAUUCUUUUCUUAAAGUAUAAAAUCAUUCUUCC
RNAcentral lists this long non-coding RNA (1886 nucleotides) under Equus caballus (horse). RNAcentral describes it as "lncRNA (ENSECAG00000057888.1)". The record is from RNAcentral. Lineage: Eukaryota; Metazoa; Chordata; Mammalia; Perissodactyla; Equidae.